UACGUAGGGGGCAAGCGUUGUCCGGAUUUAUUGGGCGUAAAGAGCGUGUAGGCGGCCAUUCAGGUCAGCUGUGAAAACUCGAGGCUCAACCUCGAGACGUCGGUUGAAACCGUAAGGCUAGAGUCCGGAAGAGGAGAGUGGAAUUCCCGGUGUAGCGGUGAAAUGCGCAGAUAUCAGGAGGAACACCAGUGGCGAAGGCGACACGCUGGGCCGUACCUGACACUGAUGCGCGACAGCAUGGGAGCAA
RNAcentral lists this ribosomal RNA (247 nucleotides) under uncultured bacterium. RNAcentral's name for it is "partial 16S ribosomal RNA". It matches the Rfam family "Bacterial small subunit ribosomal RNA", at positions 524 to 771 of the family's 1533-position model. The record is from RNAcentral.